Molecule: ribosomal RNA, 373 nt
Filed under: uncultured organism
Description: partial 16S ribosomal RNA
Rfam family: Bacterial small subunit ribosomal RNA
Source: RNAcentral
GUAGGUGGCAAGCGUUGUCCGGAAUUAUUGGGCGUAAAGCGCGCGCAGGCGGUCCUUUAAGUCUGAUGUGAAAGCCCACGGGCUCAACCGUGGAGGGUCAUUGGAAACUGGGGGACUUGAGUACAGAAGAGGAAAGCGGAAUUCCAAGUGUAGCGGUGAAAUGCGUAGAGAUUUGGAGGAACACCAGUGGCGAAGGCGGCUUUCUGGUCUGUAACUGACGCUGAGGCGCGAAAGCGUGGGGAGCAAACAGGAUUAGAUACCCUGGUAGUCCACGCCGUAAACGAUGAGUGCUAAGUGUUAGGGGGUUUCCGCCCCUUAGUGCUGCAGCUAACGCAUUAAGCACUCCGCCUGGGGAGUAUGGCCGCAAAGGCUG